CUGCUGCAGCAAUGGAUCCGUGAACCGAAGCCGAACCCUUCUAUUUCCUGGUACCUCGCCGCCUCCCUCAACGCCGUCGGUCGCUCGGGCCCAACAAUGGCGAGGCGCCGUGUACUUCUCCUGCUGAAGCCUCUCGACGUCUAUCCGCCAAGGCCCAACAUACUUCCCUCCUCUUCCUCCUCAUCCUCGUUUCCUUCUUCCCUCAACCCUAAGAUUAUAAGUUAUUUAAAUAGCAGAUAUAAGGUACAUCAGGAUACAAUCAGAUUCUGUCAGGAUGUACUACAAAGCAAAUACAUUGAGUGGGAACCAGUCACACGAGAUAAUUUGUGUCGUCCAAUUCGUCAUGUAGAUCUUGUGAUCACAAUCGGCGGAGAUGGCACUCUUUUACGAGCUAGUCACUUUUUGGAUGACUCCAUUCCAGUACUAGGCGUCAAUUCAGAUCCCACUCAAGUCGAAGAGGUUAAUGAGUUAAGCGAUUCAUUUGACGCGACAAGAAGUACAGGCUAUCUUUGUGCUGCAACAGCAAAAAACUUUGAGCAGGCAACAUCCAGAACUACUUUUAUAGAAGAUUAUUAGUCAAGUAUUAGAUGAUGUACUCGAGGGUCGCAAACAGCCUUCAGAGCUCUCAAGGAUAUCCAUUCAUGUAAAUGGCAAUCUGUUUCCAACUUAUGCUCUAAAUGACAUUCUUGUUGCGCACCCUUGCCCAGCAACAGUUUCUCGGUUCUCAUUCAGAAUUAAAGAGGACAGGACAAGCUCAAGCUUAGUCAGUUCCCGAUCAAGUGGCCUCAGGAUCUCAACCGCCGCAGGAUCAACAGCUGCCAUCCUUUCUGCUGGAGGUAUCCCCAUGCCGAUUUCGAGCCAAGAUCUUCAAUACAUGGCGAGAGAGCCCAUCUCACCCAGAGUUGCGGAAGUUCCUCUGUUGCGGGGAUUUGUGAAGCCUGAACAACUAAUGCUUAUCGAUUGGUAUACUCAAGAAGGUGUCAUAUAUGUUGAUGGUUGUCAUGUAACUUGUCCUCUUCGAUACGGGAACACAGUUGAGGUAUCAGCAAAAGCUCCAAUUUUGAAAGUUUAUUUGCCCCGUGAAUUUUCGAGGGAUUGUUCUGUGACAUAUCAUCAACCACAGAGUGAACUAUAAUUUUGUAAAUUUGAUUCUUUGGUACUUUGUCUUGAAGCCCGAAGCUAAAGACUAAUCCAUUUGUGAAAAAUUGAAAUUGCA
RNA transcript from Zingiber officinale, 1216 nucleotides. It is a transcript of the gene named probable NADH kinase, with no coding region annotated. Lineage: Eukaryota; Viridiplantae; Streptophyta; Magnoliopsida; Zingiberales; Zingiberaceae. The transcript is spliced from 5 exons. The record is from RefSeq and is a predicted model, not a curated record.